CUAUUCUUAAGUUUACUAUUUUAUUAUUCUGAUAAUGAUGGUAACUUCUUUGAUAUAUUGAAAUAUUGUAGCUUUUGUAUUCACCGGGGGAUUAUUUUGUUCAAGCAUCAUCUUUCCGAGGAACUAAAUUUUUUCUGGUUCAUAUGUACCUUAGGGUCAGGAUCAAUAUCCUGUUCUUUGUGAGUAACUAGGGAACAUUUUCUUAAUCUGCAGUUUCUUUAGAAAUUGAUUUACUUGUUCUCUAGUAUUUACAUAAUUGGUUUUAUUUAUAAGAGUUAUUAAUAUGUGACUUCUUGAAUUCUUUCAUGAGAGAUGACUUCGAAAUAUUGGUUAGCUUCUUCUGGCCAUUCUUAUCAAUCUGUUGUAGCUAUAGCUAUAGUUAGAGAGUCCCAGAGUAAGCUGACUUCUGUUAGGUCAACUAUUCAAUUAGUCACCCUUAGAUAGAUCUUCUAUUGAAUCUGAUACAAAUCUGAUGAUCAGUUGAGUUAGGGUCAUGGUAACAAAUAUGUAAUCAUUAUUAGCACAUUUAGCGCUAAGUUGUAGCAUUGCUCAAUUAAAUCUGCCUGAUUGUUCCACCUUGGAUAUGCUUCCCUAUAAAUCUGUUGUCCACUGUCGGAUCAAUUUAGGAUAAACGUCUUGCUACAAUAAAUUUUCCCCUUUCUUGUUAAUGACUCUUAUAUGUAGGUUAGGUUAUCAGGUCUAUUUUUUUUUGCAUGUUGAGAAUUGGCUACGAAAUUUUUACUGAUUGUUCACUUUUGAUAUGCUCUAUUUAAAUCUGUUGUCCAUCGAUAGAACAAUUUGUACUACUCGUGCCAUUCGACAUUUUUGUAGUAGAAUUUAUCUGAAUUAUGAAAUUUAGCAAAGGGUUAUAAUAGACCUUAACUAAGUAUGUUGGUACCAUAUGAGAUAUAUCGGGCAUUAAUUCAUCUCCAUUUACAUGACUCAUAAUUUGCGGUUAGGUAUGAUCGAUCGAGUCAGCUGUAAGUGUGAGUAAGUUAGUCGUCGUAUAGGUUAUAUUGAGUUUGUAUUCGAAUAUUGUUGUUAUGGUGUUCUUGUUGACUAUAAUUUGGGGUUUUAUUUAAAUCUACUAAAUCAACUUGAACACAAUUUGGUCUUUUUGGUAUGUGUCACAGAGGACUGGUACUAUGAGUUUGGACGGUGUCCAACGAUAGGUUAGUUUAUAGUAGUGUAGUAUUCAUAGGUUCUUGAUAUAUUUUAGAUAUUUGUUUUCUUCACGGCUGUGUUGGAACCCACAGCGUGUGAUUUUUCUCUGUGGAUAUUUGUAUGGAGUAUCUAUAUGGGUAUAUAUAUGUGUGUAUAUAUAUGUAUAUAUAUGUAUGUGUGUGUGUAUAUAUAUAUGUGUAUAUAAUAAAAAAAAAAUUGUUCAUAAGAUCAAUUUUUUUUCUUACAAGUAAUGGGGGAAUGUAACGAUGAGUGAUACUCAUCGUCACUUUAUAAUAUGCAUUUCAAAAUAUUUAUUAGGAAAAGCAACUCCCAAUAAGUAUACCACCAAAUAUACUUCAGCGUGUAGUAGGUAUUGCCUAGAUUUUUACUAUUUGGAUGAUGUUUGUAACUUUUGGGGAAAUUCAAGUUUUAUAAGUUGGUUCGCCUGGCGAUGCCGGCAUCCGGCUGGCGUGUUGGUCAUUUCGGCAACCGCAGCGGUCCGGCACUUAGUUUUCGGCUUUUGAUAAGGCAACAGUUCAAUCUCCGCCGGUGGCCAUUGCAUAAGAAAUAGAAAUUUGGUUGACAUAUUAAUUUAUAAGAAGAGUAAUUUACGUUGGAGGAAGUUUUGUUUUGGUUUUGUAGUGUGGAGUGUUUCAAGAGAAGAGUUUUUAUUUUUCAACUCCGUUUUUGGAAAGCAAUGGCCACUGGUGGAGAAGGAGAAGUAGAAGAUUAAGUCAAGUCACAGCUUUUGUUUUUUUGGAAAUGGAAUAAAAUAAUUUUGGGAAAUUUUGGGCGAUUUUGUUACUUUUAUGGAAUAUGUGUUGAUUUGCCAGUCAUAGAAGCGUACCUCCUUGUGGAUGACAGUACCCCCCAGGUUUGGGGAAGAUUGGAGGAUAACUUGGAUCUCCAACCAUUCAUCUAGCAGGAUUUUGGAGAAGAAACCAGCUCUCACUUGUAGAAGCAACAGGUUUUAUAGUAAAAUUUACGUUUUCAAAUUUUGUUCAAUAAUAUCUUUCAACUUUAAUAGUUUUAAUAACUUUGAAAUAAAUAACCUUAAUAAUAAUAUAAACUCACUUUGCUAAAAUUUAAUAACUGUCUAAUAUUUAAUAUUUUUCAACAAAUUUUACCUUUCACCGCUCACAUCAUUCAUUUAAAAUAAUCUGAAGGUUAUAAAUCAUCGUGUAAAGGUGUUGUAUACAAUAUCUAGGUGUUUAUUCCCUUAUUUCAUAACCUUUAUUUCAGUUAUUAGAUAUUGUACUCAGGUUUAUCGCUUUAGGUCAGAUACGGAAUUGUCAGCCAAUAUUGUGAUCAAUAUCAAUAUAAUAUUUUUGUUUAGGUAAAUAACUUGUAAUUUCAAAUAACUGUCUUGGUAUAAUUAAUUAAAUUUUUGUGUUUUAUUUUUUUCUGUAAAUCUCAGUGUCGACAGGAGCGUAUCCUUCUAGUACGACAGGUACUAGUUAGCUAGUGUAUAAAUUUGUAUAUAUAGGGGUUAUAGGUAUUUUUUUUUUCAUUAAAUUGGUUGGUUGUACAUA
RNAcentral lists this long non-coding RNA (2696 nucleotides) under Diabrotica virgifera virgifera (western corn rootworm). Its description in RNAcentral is "uncharacterized LOC126884052". The record is from RNAcentral. Lineage: Eukaryota; Metazoa; Arthropoda; Insecta; Coleoptera; Chrysomelidae.